UACGGAGGAUGCGAGCGUUAUCCGGAUUUAUUGGGUUUAAAGGGUGCGUAGGCGGUCCGUUAAGUCAGCGGUAAAAUUGCGGGGCUCAACCCCGUCGAGCCGUUGAAACUGUCAGACUUGAGUUGGCGAGAAGUACGCGGAAUGCGUGGUGUAGCGGUGAAAUGCAUAGAUAUCACGCAGAACUCCGAUUGCGAAGGCAGCGUACCGGCGCCCAACUGACGCUGAAGCACGAAGGCGUGGGUAUCGAACAGG
Molecule: ribosomal RNA, 252 nt
Filed under: uncultured bacterium
Lineage: Bacteria
Description: partial 16S ribosomal RNA
Rfam family: Bacterial small subunit ribosomal RNA
Source: RNAcentral